GGGACACCAUUGCAUUACAAACAUAAGUUAAUCAAUUACAUGUUUAUUUCAAUACCAUAAUAUUCCAAACCAAAUAAUUUUCCCAACAUUGCCAUUAUAUACUUCCAUAACAACACUUAAAACCUAACCAAAGCAUAAGCAUACAAACUACUUUAAUAAAUCCUAUAAUCUAUGGACCAUAUAAUUUAUGGUUUAUGAUCUAAGGACAUAAUUGCAUUACAAGGAAAGCCUCAAAGUUUGAUGUUGUAUGUUGUUUGGCCAUGGUACUUGCUUAAGGCCAUUUUCCUGCAUUUUUUUUCCAUGCCAUUUUAAGCUCCCUCUAAAUGUGCAAGUCACCAUCUAAUAGCAUGUUGCAGCCUACGAAACCACGAGUCAGUAGUUGUUAUACAACUUGAAAAAAACACAAAUGGAAAGGUUAUCACGAGACCUAAUGUCAUGGAAAUUAUUAAGCAUCACCACAUGAGUGUCAAACAGCAAAAAAAUAAAAUAUCAUAAUCCAAAUCAAAAUGUUUUCUAAAGUUCUCAUAUCAGUUGAAAACAAGAAGAACACCGGGAAGUGUUUUGAAUUAAGCAAUAUUUCAGGUCAUACAUCAGUUAAAGUUAUUUUUUACAUGACAGUAAAAAAAUCAAUUUUCUACCACAACAUGUACAUGUUUUGCGGCAGUAACGAUUCAGUGAGGGAUUCAGCAAAAGGAUCACACGUUUUUGAAAGAUUCCACUACAAAAAAAAAUCAUGCUUACCACCAUCAUUUUGGGACCACACCAAAUCUAAGGAAGAUUCUUUUCUAACGAAAUGAUUUGUUGCAUUUUCGCCAGCUCAUGGUCCAUACGUGAUCUGAAGACCUCAUAUUCAACUCUAUAAAAGAGACACAUCCAAUCAUUGAAAGACGAUGAAAUUUUUGGUAAUGUUACUCUAUUAAAAAAUUUCCUUAACAACCAAAGUUUCGAACCCAGAACAUUCAGAGUUUCUCACUAGAACUCUGAAUUGUUUGAGCUACAUUCAAGCAAGUUACGAAGUCAUAACCCCAUAGAAGAAGGAAUCAAAGAAAUCACAUAAAUAAGGAAGGAGAGGAAGCGAGCAGUGUACCUGAGAUUUCAUCGCCGUGUCAAAAUCAGAAGCUUUAACCGAAUUUCUUCUAGUUGCUUUUCUUGGCUUUUUUUGUUUAUUAAAUGUAUUAUGCAUAGCUGCUUAUUUUAACUAAUUGAUUAUGGAUAAGGUUGUUUCCUUAUUGGGAUUAUGUUUCAAAUUUGGGAUUUCCGAUCUGAUUGUAUGUUGUUUUCUCAAUAAUAUUGUUGGUUUAUCGUUGAUGAAGGGACGAAAUAAUGAUGGUUUAGGUUUAUGUUUUUUUGGUUUGGAUCUGGGCUUUCUGAAAUCCGAGUUUCAUGAAUGAUGAAUGUCAUAGAAGUUCAUCAUGUGUUCACACUAAGGGAUUGGCGAAAUCAUUUUGACUCCUUUUGUGUUUUUGCUUUAUAAGAGAUUUUUGAAACAGAGAAAUGUGAAUUUGAGUUUCCAUUCUUUUUGCAAGUGCUUGAUGUCGUGAGAAAGAGAGAGAGAGAGAGAGGUGGGGGGAUAUAUGUUCAAGGGGAAGGGAGAU
This 1595-nucleotide long non-coding RNA is filed under the name Lathyrus oleraceus (garden pea). RNAcentral describes it as "Pisum sativum (pea) long non-coding RNA (PSAT_LNC040010)". The record is from RNAcentral. Lineage: Eukaryota; Viridiplantae; Streptophyta; Magnoliopsida; Fabales; Fabaceae.